This 1061-nucleotide long non-coding RNA is filed under the name Macaca mulatta (Rhesus monkey). RNAcentral describes it as "lncRNA (ENSMMUG00000056447.1)". Lineage: Eukaryota; Metazoa; Chordata; Mammalia; Primates; Cercopithecidae. The record is from RNAcentral.
GCAUGAUUCUUAGCAAAUUCACUCUUGUUUUUUUUUGUAGGGGCUUUAAGUCACUUAUCCAUUUUGUGAGGAUUAAUAUACUUAAACCCAGGGGGCAUCACCAGUGAAUUCUCUUGAGCAGGCACUUGUUAACAACGAAAGGUUGCAAUUUGCUGAAAAUAAAAAUGAGUGAAAACAAGUGAGGCACUCCUGUCCCUACUGGGGAGCCCCAUCGCAUCUUACAUCUUGCAUGAGGGAGGAAGCAUUAAUCUGGACUUGAACUAUUACUGUUUACUAUUCAUGAGAUACAAAGUGGAAAUCCUCACAUUUCCUUCCCACUCACUGAGGAAUAUCUCUGCAAACACCCUGAGCUUGGUACAUCCACUCUAAGAACCACUGAACCAGAGAAUAUUUAUAAUUCCAGUAAAAGAUUAUAAACAGAGAGACUGUUGGGAGCAAGGUGUUAGGUCUGAACUUGGCAAACUACAGUCUUUACUUACAAGAUGCUCUCACUAGUUUGCUGAUGGCCUGAAGUGAGCCUUGUUGUAGUUUAACGAUGUAUGCCUGAAAACUGCUCAUUAUAAAAAUUGCACUUGCUGUCUUACGUUGUGGAGUGUGUUUGUAAUAGGAAAUUCAAUUUGCUUAUGUAAGCUCUAAAUGAGCCCACUGACCCUGAGAUCCCUGACCACUAUACAGAGUGUGUGGAUUCUCUGACUACUGAGAAAAGCCCAGGCUUCUACUUCAAGUUUGCAUUUUGCAAAUUGUGUCCUGGCAGACUCAGAUCCAAACAAAAGAACAUAUGGCUUCAGCAAACACAACAACAUCGACAAUGAAAAAGAAUUACAAUGGAAUGAGACUGAGAUUGACAAAAUAAUGACACCUCUAUCCCCAAACAUCUGCAUCUUAAUUCCCAGGACCCUUGAAUAUAUUACUUUACAUGACAAAGGUAAUUCAUGUUGAGAUGAAAUUAAGGUUGUUAAUCAGUUGACCUUAAACUGGGGAGAUUAACUGGAUUAUCUGGGCGGACCCAAUGAAAUUGCAGGGAUUCUUUAAAUGGGGAAAAGGGAAAUAGAAGAAUGAAA